ACGCAUCGUACCGUCGAGUCUCGCGUCGCUUUUUCUGCGUGAAGUUGGCCGCGUAUGGAAAACGACGCUUCCCUAUUUCGAUUGCAUUCACGUUUCAUUCGUGGAAUGCGGCGGAUAGGAGAUGACACGGCGGAACCAACGGCUCUCAAACGAGUAGCAGCGCGAUCAAAUAUGAUACCGGCAUUCAACGUAUUAAUUAAUUCUCAUAACGUGAUUUGCAGUGUAUUGUUCGAUGCAUGCAACGUUCUAUAUUAGAUAACUGAGAAUGGCAGUUACUAUUGAUUCUGUGAUAUAUCUCUGUUUUGUGGCGAUUCUUUGGGGAGUAACCAAUCCAUUUAUAAAGAAAGGUGCGCAAGGUUUAGAGGCUAUCAGGGCCAAGUCAGUUUAUGGACAAUUUUUUAAGGAGCAGUUAUUUCUCAUUACUAAUCUGAAGUACAUUGUGCCAUUUCUCCUUAAUCAAUGCGGUUCGGUACUGUACUUCUUGACUCUGCAGAGUAGCGACCUAUCCCUGGCUGUACCAGUUUCAAAUUCUCUUACCUUCGUAUUUACUGCGAUCACAGGCUGGUUCCUAGGCGAAGAAAAAGUGCAUAGAAAUACUUAUCUGGGAAUGAUACUUGUGCUGUGCGGAACCAUGUUAUGUUGUUGGGACAAACUGAAUAAAACUGUGGAAUUAUGAUUUGUUACACUUAAGACGAUGAUCAUUAAGCACGCAUAGUUACCCUUCCUUUUCCUGUUCAUCCAUACUACCUGCCGAUUAAUCCACAUCCAUCCUGUGUAAUGUUUCCAAUUAAAAUACGUCGAGCUGCAAGUUCGGUAAUUGAUAGUCAACGAAAAGAAUUCAUUUUCGAUGGAUUUCACGGGUGAACAUAGUUGGUGAGUAUUACAAUUAUUACAUAUCAUAAAUGCAUUUUAGUCUUGGUCUUCACGCUCGUAGCUUUCUAAUUCUUGACAGAUUUGAACGAUAAGAUAGUGAAAUUUUUAUAUUGAUGAUUAAUAUUUCCAGAAAUUAAGAAAGUAAUAUUUCUAGUGAAUGGAUUCACCUGACAAGUAAUCUAAUUUACGUUUUUUUUUUCAUUUUUU
This is an RNA transcript of Trachymyrmex septentrionalis, 1080 nucleotides long. It is a transcript of the gene named transmembrane protein 234 homolog, with no coding region annotated. The record is from RefSeq and is a predicted model, not a curated record. Lineage: Eukaryota; Metazoa; Arthropoda; Insecta; Hymenoptera; Formicidae. The transcript is spliced from 6 exons.